AUGUGGGUAAGAAUGGUGAAGAACAUCCAGUCCCCAAAGAGGACACAGGCUGAAGUAGUAAAGGGAGGCACAAGAAGAGGUCAUGUGAAUGCACAGCAGGAAGGUAGAUCUGCAAACCAGAAAGAGAGCUCUCACCAGAACAAGACCAUGCUGGUAUCCCGAUCUGAGACUUCCAGCCUCCAGAACAGUGAGAAAAUAAAUUUCAGCUGUUUAAGUCACCCAGUCUAUGAUAUUUUAUUAAAACAGUCUGAACUAACUAAGACACACACUCC
This 272-nucleotide long non-coding RNA is filed under the name Papio anubis (olive baboon). RNAcentral describes it as "lncRNA (ENSPANG00000042856.1)". The record is from RNAcentral. Lineage: Eukaryota; Metazoa; Chordata; Mammalia; Primates; Cercopithecidae.